CAAAGUCCUUAUCAAUAGUGUCAAUUCUGCAAUUUGGAUCGCAUAUCUGAACAUUCUAGUUGCAGAAGAAUACAUAAAGACAUAUCACUCCAAAGUUUACACUAAAUUCAUUCAUGCUCAAUUAAAGAGGAUCGAUCACCAAGGGGUUUAUCUCAGCCCUAGUUUGAAAGUUCUUCACGUUCACUCCUGGUCUCAAUAUGCCCCUGAAGCAAAUAAACAAAAGAUUGCUAACAAAGAGUUAAAUGGCAAUGAUAAUUGUCGAUUCACAAUCAUAGGAAUUCCUGCUUCAAUGAAGCACUUGUCAUCUCGGUCGCUCGCUCAUUCCAUUGAUUGAUUGAAAUAGGAUCUGGACCAAAACAAGAGAAACAUAGAAGGAAAAAAGGAGCCAAACCCCUAACCUCCUCCUGACAAUGGAACCGUGAGGAGGUUGGUUGGAAUCCUUGGAAUGAAGAACUGCCAUUUCCGCAACAUCUAGAAGCCUCAGUGUCUCAUUCCAACACUCAGAACCCCGCCAUAGAAGCUUACCUACAAGAAAACAUUGUCCAGGGAAACUUAGCUGCCCACUUCACUAACUGAGUUAAACAGAAUACAACUCUGGAAACAAGUAAUAAGUUAAAACAGAGGAAAACAACACCUUUCGGAGAAUAAGGGUGAAGGAGACCUCCAGAAACUCCAGAAGCACCUCGUCCGAUUCCCGCUUCAUCAUACAGAUCAACUCGAAGAUUCAGCUUCUAUCAUUGUUCUGCUUGACCAGAAAAAUGGACCUCCAGCGUUAUCAAGAAAAUGCAGAAGAAAUCGAAGAGUUAAGCAACAAAAUCUAGUUUCAGCAAGUGCCAAGCUACGGAGAGACCCGCAAAACCAACUCCAAGAACCGCGUAUCUGCAACGUAGUUAUGCUGUUUCUUUCAAAGAGUAUCGAGAAUAAUCGCGAUUGAAUCGAAAGAUUAAGCAGGUGGACACGAGGUUUAAGAAGAAAACAACGAGCGUACCUGACAUGACGAAUUGGAAAAGAGGGAAGAAGCUGCGACAUGGUGGAGAGGACAACGGAGAGUAUAAGUUUCAGGCUACAAUGCUGCUACCGCCGACUUGCAGCAAAGGGACGACGGUAGAGCUACGGCAGCGGGAAAACGGUGAACGUUAACCCAAUCGCUCCGCGGUCCCCGCUUUUUACGAAGAUAAAACAACGAAUUAAACAG
RNAcentral lists this long non-coding RNA (1195 nucleotides) under Linum usitatissimum (flax). RNAcentral describes it as "long non-coding RNA (LUSI_LNC004386)". Lineage: Eukaryota; Viridiplantae; Streptophyta; Magnoliopsida; Malpighiales; Linaceae. The record is from RNAcentral.